RNAcentral lists this unclassified non-coding RNA (410 nucleotides) under fungal sp. RNAcentral's name for it is "partial internal transcribed spacer region". Lineage: Eukaryota; Fungi. The record is from RNAcentral.
CAUAUGAGGGGUACCAGCCCACCCCCCCAGCAACCGUUCUCGAUGGGCUUUCAAUAUGGCGAGGUCGUAUAAAAAACCCAAGUUGAGGGGUGCCUUCCCCCUAAUUCCCGCACUUUUCCGCCACUCUCUCGACCAAAACUAAAAAAGUUGACCUUAGCAGGGAGUUAGUAGUGAUUUACAAUCGAGCGGUAGUUCUAUAGGCAAUGUUUCCCCAAGCAGUCAGUGUCGGAAAGUGUCAUUGAUUGUGCAAGGAUAGCGCUUCUACGAUUCCUGUAGACCGUACACUCGGGCAGGAGCUUUGCCAAAGGGUCCCCAUGCCCCCUAAUAACCCCACAGUUUAAUGUGAAGCUCAAUGUAAUACAUUGGGUAAAAAAACCGAACAACUGUUAACAAUGGAUAUCUUGGUUCUC